GUGCUUGAUUCAGCAGCACAUAUACUAAAAUUGGAACGAUACAGAGAAGAUUAGCAUGGCCCCUGCACAAGAAUGACACGCAAAUUCAUGAAGCAUUCCAUAUUUGA
This 107-nucleotide small nuclear RNA is filed under the name Carlito syrichta (Philippine tarsier). The record is from RNAcentral. Lineage: Eukaryota; Metazoa; Chordata; Mammalia; Primates; Tarsiidae.